This is a non-coding RNA of Myotis brandtii (Brandt's bat), 73 nucleotides long. NCBI's taxonomy places the organism in Eukaryota, Metazoa, Chordata, Mammalia, Chiroptera, Vespertilionidae. The record is from Rfam.
GCCUGCGUGGCUCAGUGAAUAGAGCAUCGGCCUGCAGACUGAAGGAUCACAGGUUCGAUUCCAGUCAAGGGCA